CCUUGCAUACCUGAGGCUUUCUGAAGAUGGAAUCCAUCAGUUUGGGAAGUCAGGGCUGUCCCCUCAGUCUCAGCAGCAGCCAGAAGAUAACGGUCUCAGCACAAUCAACAUUGCUGUUUCUACAGUCUUUUAAUCUUCUCCUUUACCAAGAAAGAGAAAAAGAUAUUCUUUAUCUUUUCUUACCAAGCUAAUGAUCUUUCUUCCUCCAGAGAGGAAGUAAAUGAAUGGCUUCUCCACCCACUUUUCCAGUCUCCAGCCAUAUGACAGAAGUCCCUGCUGGCCUCAGAGCAGGAAGCAGUAGUGUGUUGAUCCCAGCCUUUUUAUUGCUGCUAGCAAUUAUCAUAAAAUUACUUUAUUGUGCAUGUGACAGUUGGUGACAGUCAAAGCAGCCUCUGCCCACUCUGAUUUUUCUCAACAAAAACUAUUAACCCAUGAGGGAUUGGAUGCUGGAGACUCCUUUUCUUUCACAUAAUAUGCAGCAUCUGCAACAGCUUGAGAGGAAUUUGGAGAAAAUCCUAGAGAAAAGUAUUAGGGCUCAGAAAGGGAAAUAAGUUUUCAAAGGAAGAUGGUAUUUUAAGCGGUUCAGUGUCAGCAUGACUUCUAAGGGCUAACAAGAAGCCCACUGGAAGGCUGUGAGGAACACUCCCAAAGGGAAGUAGCAAACUGGUGACAUAUAGAAGAUUUUAGGAUCACCUUUGGCUAUUUAGCAACCACUGCCCUUACGAGACAUCAAUCUAGAGCAAACCCUAGACCUUGAACCAAAAAUACAUUGCAAGCUUGGUUCUAAUUUAGGAAGAGGUGCAAACCUGUUUUCCUGCAUGAUUAACAGAGCAGAAGGCGGAGGGGGAAGCGAACAAGAAAACCAACCAUGUUCCUGCUUAACAGUCUUGGCAUGUCUGGCCUCAGGUACCCAAUCAGAUGCAGAGCUUUCUUCUCCUGCAGUACGAGCCACAUUAAACUUAGAAAUGAAGAGACUUCAACCCCCCAACAAUUGUAAUUCUCAGGUGCUCAAGAGCCUUUAAUUCAUUAUGAACCUAGAGGCAGAGACUUUAAAAAAAAAAAAGGCAAAAAAAUACAUCACAUCCUUAAUCUAGGAAAAAAGUCAGCAUUUUUAUAGCACAUCAUCAGACACUUACAAAUAUAUUUCACUGAAGGAAUGGGAGGGUAGGACUGUGCGUUUCCUAUUUCCUUUUCAAUAGUCUGAUGCACAGAGGCCAUCAACACAGCCAUUAGAGAUAAUCUGCACACAAGUCAUUCCUAAAUCAAAAAGAGAUUUAAAAAUGAACAAAAAGGGAG
Long non-coding RNA from Gallus gallus (chicken), 1296 nucleotides. Lineage: Eukaryota; Metazoa; Chordata; Aves; Galliformes; Phasianidae. The record is from Ensembl.